GAUGAACGCUGGCGGCGUGCCUAAUACAUGCAAGUCGAGCGAACGGACGAGAAGCUUGCUUCUCUGAUGUUAGCGGCGGACGGGUGAGUAACACGUGGAUAACCUACCUAUAAGACUGGGAUAACUUCGGGAAACCGGAGCUAAUACCGGAUAAUAUUUUGAACCGCAUGGUUCAAAAGUGAAAGACGGUCUUGCUGUCACUUAUAGAUGGAUCCGCGCUGCAUUAGCUAGUUGGUAAGGUAACGGCUUACCAAGGCAACGAUGCAUAGCCGACCUGAGAGGGUGAUCGGCCACACUGGAACUGAGACACGGUCCAGACUCCUACGGGGGGCAGCAGUAGGGAAUCUUCCGCAAUGGGCGAAAGCCUGACGGAGCAACGCCGCGUGAGUGAUGAAGGUCUUCGGAUCGUAAAACUCUGUUAUUAGGGAAGAACAUAUGUGUAAGUAACUGUGCACAUCUUGACGGUACCUAAUCAGAAAGCCACGGCUAACUACGUG
RNAcentral lists this ribosomal RNA (497 nucleotides) under uncultured bacterium. Its description in RNAcentral is "partial 16S ribosomal RNA". It matches the Rfam family "Bacterial small subunit ribosomal RNA", at positions 28 to 507 of the family's 1533-position model. The record is from RNAcentral.